This 460-nucleotide ribosomal RNA is filed under the name uncultured bacterium. Its description in RNAcentral is "partial 16S ribosomal RNA". It matches the Rfam family "Bacterial small subunit ribosomal RNA", at positions 338 to 795 of the family's 1533-position model. The record is from RNAcentral.
CCUACGGGGGGCAGCAGUGAGGAAUAUUGGUCAAUGGGCUUACGCCUGAACCAGCCAAGUCGCGUGAGGGAAGACUGCCCUAUGGGUUGUAAACCUCUUUUGUCAGGGAGCAAUUGGCGCUACGUGUAGCGUUAUCGAGAGUACCUGAAGAAAAAGCAUCGGCUAACUCCGUGCCAGCAGCCGCGGUAAUACGGAGGAUGCGAGCGUUAUCCGGAUUGAUUGGGUUUAAGGGUUGCGUAGGCGGAAUGCCAAGUCAGCGGUAAAAUCGCGGGGCUCAACCUCGCUCCGCCGUUGAAACUGGCGUUCUUGAGUGGGCGAGAAGUAUGCGGAAUGCGUGGUGUAGCGGUGAAAUGCAUAGAUAUCACGCAGAACUCCGAUUGCGAAGGCAGCAUACCGGCGCCCAACUGACGCUGAAGCACGAAAGCGUGGGUAUCGAACAGGAUUAGAUACCCGGGUAGUC